This is a long non-coding RNA of Chelonia mydas (Green sea turtle), 530 nucleotides long. RefSeq lists it as uncharacterized. The record is from RefSeq and is a predicted model, not a curated record. Lineage: Eukaryota; Metazoa; Chordata; Testudines; Cheloniidae. The transcript has 2 exons.
CAAGCUACGGCUAUUCCCCAAGGCACUUACGUCUUCUACGGGGCGUAGCCCUCGCUCCACUUGCGAGUGAGUGGUGAUAGUUGGUACGCAAAAGGCGCAGAGCAAGCUCCUCCUUCUGUGCAGGAGAUACGCAACGAAGGGCACCAGGCAAGCCCCAGCCGCAGGAAGCCAGCCUCCUGUACCCAGUCUGAUAAAACUUUUCACACUGUCAUGUAAUCUUAUUAUGGCAAGGGUCAGCACAGUUAAACAUAGUUUUUUAUUUUUGCUUGUGAGGAAACUUUUAGUCAUGGAAGAAAAUGCUGUGGUGCUGUUUAUCUCGUGCAGUUUCUAUAGGAGAUCUCUGGCAAGCAUCAAGGGAACUUGCUGUCUGCCUUAAUAUCUCCAGCUGGAGUCAAUUAUUGAGGCAGAGUUGCAUCAUGGGCUUUGUUGUUGGCAUUGAUUACCUGGAAGAGGGGAUUGCCUGUAUGCCAUUUGUGACCACUUCUAUUUCAGGAUUGGCGUAUAUUUGUGAAUAAAACAAGUUACACUAA